Molecule: long non-coding RNA, 5762 nt
Filed under: Sus scrofa (pig)
Lineage: Eukaryota; Metazoa; Chordata; Mammalia; Artiodactyla; Suidae
Description: lncRNA (ENSSSCG00040067230.1)
Source: RNAcentral
GGCCGCACUUGUGACAUAUGGAGGUUCUCAGGCUAGGGGUCUAAUCAGGGCCACAGCCACACAGGAUCUGAGCUGCAUCUCCAACCUACACCACCACUCAUGGCAAUGCCAGAUCCUUUUCCACUGAGCGAGGCUAGGGAUCGCACCUGCAACGUCAUGGUUCCUAGUUGGCUUCGUUUCUCCUUCCAUGUCUUCUUCAAGAUUCCCAUAAUCUAGCUUCCUCAACUAAACUUUGGCUCAAAUUGUGUAUAUUCAAUUAGGCCAAGUCCUAGACUAGGUCAGCAUGGAUGGUAAACCUGGUCUCUCAUCUUUGAGAUCCAGGUAGACUAGCACAAUUUGCUGCCAUUUAUGCCAUUUCUGAACAUCACUAAAAUUCAACAUGUCUCCAUUUAGCUAUGUCCCAAAGGACCUUUGAAAGAUAGCAACAGCAGCCUCCUUUCAAGGGACUGAAUUGCUUAGACCAACAAAGUAUACAGAAUUAGAAGUUAUUGAAGCGUUCUUCACAUAGAGGUGAUAGUUAAAUCCAAACAAAAAGAUGAACCCUCUAAAUGGGAGAACUUAGAGGCUAAAAAAAGUUUGAUGUAAUCAGUAUGUGUGUGUGUGUGUGUGUGUGUGUGUGUGUGUGUGUGUGUGUGUGUGUGAGGGUGUGUGUGUGUGUGGUAGAGUGCCAUGGUAGUUUUUAUAAACCUAUUCUGCUUGUCAUUUAACCAUUCUAUAACAUUUGCUAACGCCACCUAAUUUGAAACAAACAUGCAUGUGAACUUGAUUUAGAAAAGCUUUAUUACCACUAACCUAUUUACUUUCCUAGGAUAUUGAAAAAUUGCUUUGGGUAGACAAACUCCUAAAGUUAUUGUCUAAGAGUAAAUCUAUUGAAAUGGCAAUAAGAUGAUGUAGAGGGCAUGGUGCUAUCCUCUAAAUUUUCCUUAAACCUGCUGAGCUGUGAAGACUGGGUGUAAUGUACUCUGUUGUGGCUUGAACCUCUGCCGGGAGUACAUGAUUAACAGUGUAGUGAAACAAUGCUGACGGGGACUCUGGCCAAGAACCUCCCUGUAGUAUAUGGUAGCUAGACAAUGACUUUGCCUGCUGAUGCCAAAUCAACUGAUGUGUUCUGUCAAAACUACUAGUCAAGCUGUUUAUUUGCCAUUGGGGAGAAAAAAUGAUGUGAAGAUUGCCUGGAUUUUACAAUUUACAACUGCCUCUCCUGGCACCAUCAGGACAGACUUACUGCUGCAGCUCUGUACUUCAACUUUUUUUAUUCCCUAAACUAAUCAUUUGUGUUAACACUGUAGGACUGAAAGCAUGGGCUUUGAGGUCAUCUGAGUAUCUGCGUCAGGAUUCUGGUCCCCUCACUUACUAGUUCUGUGUCCUUGCCCAGAGAAUUUUAAUUUCAUUCUCAGUUUCCUCAUCUGUAAAUGGGUAUCAGUAGAGUAGCUAAUUCCUGAGGAGGAGAGGUAGCGAAAAUAAAAGGGGGAAAUACAUGGAAAAAUCUCAACAUACUGGCUGGCAUAUAGCAUUUAAUGAAUAUUUUACUAUUAUAAACAUUAUUAAUAGCUCUUAACUCUUUACAUUACCCAUAAGCUUUAGUGAAAAGUCCUUUUUCUAAGCAGUCAUGUUUUAAUUCUACUUAUCUUUACCUUCAUAGUUAUAACAUUGAGCCCUUUUAGGAAAUGACAGUUCUGAUCCAAGUUGAAGGCUUUAAUUUUUUAAAUUUAAAAUAUUUUUUAAAGAUAAAGGUAAAAAUAGAUAGUUACAAAGGUGCUUUUAGUACUUAACUCUAAAAUUGGGGGGUGUCAUAAACUGUACAUUUCACAAUACAGUUUUUAAUUUAAAGUGUAAAAUCUUUAUAUUUGUUAGUAGUAAAAAGUUUUUAAAAAUUUGGUUCUGCUUUAGGUUUGAAAAGAUGAUGUCCCAAGCAUAAUGAUUUUAAAUGAUUUUUCCUCAAAUAAAUUGUUCAUAGUGCUCUAUUCAUUUCAUUUCAUACUAAUAAAAAAUUUUAUAUUCCCCUCUACGUUAGCAUAGAUAAGAAGUCAUAUGUCAUAAUGCAGGUGCAUACCCCAAGCUUAAAGUGCUUUCCUGAUGAAGAAUUGGUGGAAGUUGCCACAUGUUCAUUUUGUUGUUGUUGUUGUUGUUGUCACCAUGAUCAUCAUUUAACUGAGAAUCCUAAAUUUAUUUCUUCUUUAUUCUUUACUUUUUCUCCUCAGAGACAAUUAUAAUUGAACAAGCUUGCUUCAUGACGUCAGUGUAGUAAUAGUGUCUUUUUUUUGUUAGGAUAUCCACACCCUAAAUUUAGACAAGGGACUGCAGAUUGGCAAGCAGCUCUGGGUCCAUAGAGGCCUUGACCAGGUCAGUCCAUUAGUCAGAGUCUGGCUGAUUAAAUACUGCUUAAGAUUCUUGAUUUAAUGGCAUUUACCCUAAUGUUGGCAUAAGGUCUUUGCUUAUUGAGUUCUAUAAGAAUUUCUUUAAAACUAUAUUGUAUUUUGAGAACAUUCCAUCACAGUCUAUCUUCCUUGCAAACUAAUAUGUGUCAGACUCAUUAUCAUAGUGACCAAAUCUCCUAACCUUUUCUUAAAAUAGAAAUCUAGUUUUUAAACUUUACUUUCAUCUCCGUAUAUAAUGUCAGCAUUCAGAACAUCCUUGGGAUUUAUAAAUAUUGCCAAACCAAAGGAUGUUUGGUACUUCCAAUUGCUAGAGCUUUAGAAAGGCAUUUACCUAGGAGGGAUAUCAAAUAAACAAUAGGUGAGUGCUUUCAACCCUAUGACAUUGCAAUGAAUUUCCAAGUAUGUUGUAAAAUAUUAGACUACUAUGUAUUUUAUACCCAAAGUAGCUCUAUUAUUAUCACAAGAAGAUACAUUGUACUCUAAAAUGUUGAUUCAUUAAUUAAAACCCCCAUUCAAUGAUUAUUUGUUAAAUUUGUUAAAUUCAGUUAAGGAUCUGGUGUUGUCACUGCUGUGGCUCAGGUCACUGCUGUGGUGGGGGUUUGAUCCCUGGCCCAGGAACUUCCACAUGCCAUGGGGUUACAGGGAAAAAAAAACACAAAGCAAACAAACAAAAAAACUCAAGACAUGGUGAAUCGGAUGAUAAAAAAUGCUCUGAAAUAAAAAACAGCAAAGAAAUAGGAAUGCAAAAAGGGGUAGUAUAUUUAAUGUAGUGAGAUGCAAUUUCUCAGAACAGGCAAUAUUGGAAUAUAGAAGGAGAUGAGGAUGCUAGUCAUAUUUAGAAUAUACAAAUAGACUAUGAUUGGAAUCAUGGAACAGUGGAUUAAGGAACAGUGAUAAGACUAAUGUGGCUGAAGCAAAAUGAACAAGAGGAAGAGUAUAGAGUAUGACAUCAAAGGGUUAUGGGUAAAGGGGUUAUACUGAACUUCAGAGGAAACUGCAAUGAUUCAGAUCCCUACUUAGGCCAAGUUGGCAAACAUUGUAAAGGAGGGAGAUGAGUUUUCUUAAAAUUUAAAAGGAUUACUCCUGUUGCCAUAUGAAAACAAUCAAAGGAAAAUAGGGCAUGAGAAGAGGCCAAAGGACCAAUUACCAGUCCAAUCAGAUGAACACUGAAAAUUAGCCAUUGGAUUUAGAAGUGUGCAGACCAUAUUGUGAUUUGAACAAGACACCAUUACAUGGCAUUUUACACCAGCAGACUCUGCAAUGGACUUUGGCAUUCUGGAUAUUUAUUAGGGAUCCACACCUGUGGAGGGAAAAGAAAGCAAAAUAGAGGGUACAUUUGAAGCAUGAUGUGUUUGGAUUGUGAUGCAGGCUCAAAAAAGCUACAAACAUAACUGUCAAGGGUAUUAUACACUGAGCUUAAAUAUCUGGGAAUUAAGAACCUGGCACAAUCACUCAUUAGAUGUGUGCCCACCAGAAGGAGUAUGUGCUUGGGUAAGGCAGUUCUCUGCAACUGAGGCAAACCCUGAAGUAGCUGGGAGAAGGAAGUACAUGAACACAAGAGAGGGGGAAAUUGUUGGAAUAAUGUCCCUUUCAAGAUGAAAGAAAAUGUUAUCUGGUUGAUCUUUGUGCAUAGUAGUGUUAACCAAUGGUUAUCAAUAUGUGUGCAUACAAUUUUAAGGUGACCUAUUUCUUUUUAGAUAAUAUCUCCAGUGACAUUAAGUUUAUGCCUAUUAGAGGAAAAUAGAUAAAAGAAAAUUUUUAUGCAAUUUUUUCCUACUCAUUUCAAAAAGUCUUCUUCAGAAGGUGAAUCUAGAACAGUUUUCUUUCAUAGAUCUAUUACUGAAUUAUUGACUUCAGCAAUCAAUAACAACAUCAUGCUGCAUUAUUAUACUUAAAAUUUGAACAGAAGUACAUCAUGUUGGAAAAUGUUUAUUGAUUUUCUGAAGUUUUAUUCUGAGAGUUUCUUGAAAUCUGUCAUGGUGGUGUCAUACUUGCCCACCACUCUCUAACUCCAAAAGGGCCUAAAAUACACACUUCACUGGUGGAGGUGAGGUAUUACAGAAAUCUAAAGUAGAGCAAUAGAGGAGGGGUCAGUGAUUCCUAUGGGAAUGAUGCUUUUUUUUUUUUGGUCAACUAAAAAAAGACUUUUUUUUGUCUUUUCAGCAUAGAGCUGUAGACAUAUGAACACACUAAACUUAAGAGCAACAAAGUAUAUAAGCCACUUAAAGUCAAACCCUGUGUGUGGUAAUUUUGUUAUACCUUACUCCAUUUCUUAAUGUUUAAAGAAGAGCUCUUAUUAAACCUUCUGACUUUGUGGAGGACAUGGUUUUAAAACUUAUAACGGAAAUGAAUGAAAUAAGCAGUACUAUGUUUUGUGUACAAAAUAUUGAAAAUACUAGGAAACAUUUGUGGGAGAGAAGUUCACUCUGUUUAAAUGCACUGAAGUUCACUCUGUUUGAAUGGGCACAGGCUGAAGGAGAGAUAAUAGCAUAGGCUUGUACACUUUUAAAAGGUGAGUGGAAAAGGACAUGGAAAUUUCUCCUCUGGAUGGCCCUGCAAAACAGUUAGCUGUCAGAUGAGAAUAACAAUUGAUGACCUCUGAAUGUUUCUUAUAACCUUAGGAUUCUCUACCAUUCUGUCCCAGAAGCACUGUUUGCUGAUGGCUAAACCACUUUAUUUCUCCACGCCUCAUUUCUCUUCCUAAUAAAUCUGCGAAUGUUCUUCUAACACAUCUGGUGGAAUGGUUGUAAGAAAGCCCACCCCUAAAGAUGAUUUUCAUCUACAGUUUAGCUCCAUUAACUGACAUUAAAAUAUCCCUACACUUUUGUGAUCCUCUUUCUUAAAAUGUGAAAGAGAAGGAUACAGGUGUAUUAAGAGUUUAUCCUUAUUGCUUAAUCAAGGCCAUGAACAGAAAGAAAGGAAAUCAUAAAAGUCAAGCACCUUUAAAGAAAACAAAUAGAGUUAAUGUUGGAUUCCGUUAUAUUCCUCCUUUUUAUAAAUUCUCAAUUCCAUCUUAUUUCCACUAUUCUCUAAUACCCAGCAACCCCUUCAGUUAGGGCAUUCCAUUGCUGGGAAUGCUCUUCUUGCUGUAACAUAUAAAAGUUCUGCUGGCUCUUCAAAUCACUCUCCCUCAUUAUAUAUUCUUCCAUUAUUUCAGGUCUCAUUGAUCUAUUUUUACUCACAAAUCCAAUAGGAUUUAUAGUUUGCAGAAGACUUCUGGAUUUAAUUACACAAGGUCAAGUAUUGUUCACCAUUGUUUCCAUUGUCUUAUUCUGUCCUCAACACCCAGCACAGUGUUCUACCAUUAAAAGAUCCUCAAUAAUUGCCCUUCUAAUGCACUGAUUCAGUCAUGAGGUUUCUAAAGGAACACUCUGUGCAUCUUUA